Molecule: ribosomal RNA, 337 nt
Filed under: Scolopocryptops nipponicus
Lineage: Eukaryota; Metazoa; Arthropoda; Chilopoda; Scolopendromorpha; Cryptopidae
Description: eukaryotic LSU rRNA
Rfam family: Eukaryotic large subunit ribosomal RNA
Source: RNAcentral
GUCGUCCCACACAGACGAAACCUGAACGGCGCAAUGAAAGUGAAGGCCGACCGUCUCGCUCCCCCCUCAAAAGGGGAGCAGCGGUGAGCCAAGGCGGGAUCCGAGAAACACAGCCGGGGUGUACUGAAAAUCGACUCGCACCCCGGUCGGCGCACCGCCGGCCCGUCUCCUUGCCGCAACGUCGGUGAGGCGGAGCCAGAGCGUACACGUUGGGACCCGAAAGAUGGUGAACUAUGCUUGGGCAGGACGAAGCCAGANNAAACUCUGGUGGAGGUCCGUAGCGAUUCUGACGUGCAAAUCGAUCGUCGGACCUGAGUAUAGGGGCAAAAAACUAAUC